UUCAAUGACCCAACCUAGAGACCCAACUGGAC
RNAcentral lists this non-coding RNA (32 nucleotides) under Rattus norvegicus (Norway rat). Lineage: Eukaryota; Metazoa; Chordata; Mammalia; Rodentia; Muridae. The record is from RNAcentral.